CGUUCCUGCCCCAGAACUCAGUUGGGGGCUCAGAGCAGGACAGAAGCAGAAACUGCACACGGUGGAUGAAGACCUGAUCAUUGAAGUUCACCAGUUAUUUUUCUCAAGAAUGUGAAUAACAAUGGGAUUUGCACUCAUUGUAUUUUUAGAAUGGCUUCGCAUAAUUUUUAUGCAUUCUGUGGACGAUGAACACAAAUGCAGCUGUGGCCGUGCGUGGCCUGUGUGUGUUGAACGCAUUCCUGCCGUGCGGGAGCCGCCUACCCAGCGGAGCCUCAGAGUGUGAGUUCUCAGUGAGUCGACAUUUUGGGUGUGUAUGCCAAGAGGUGACAUGAAACAGAAGUUGGGAUCACUGUGGUUAACCUGAGCAUGUUGGAAACCAAGGAGAGGCUGAUGUUAAUGUUGGAUUUUUGUGAAAAAAGAUUCCUUUCAAAGAAAGACCUGUGACAAUUGGUAAUUGCAGCUAAUGUGUUUCCACAAACAGCCAUUUUGUGUUGGCAUCACACCAUCCACCAUCAGGGUUGCUGACAGGAGCAGUGUUCAGGAGUCUCAGACAGUGGAUUGUGCUGCUUCAGAGCCUGGUGGCUGGAAGGUUUGCAGGCUGCCAGGGGCCUCAGCUGAAGACCUGGACCUACAGGACCACAGAGGCAAAUUGUUCAAUUGACCGUACAGUGUGAGAAUGAAAUAUUAAUUCCCCUUCUCUACCUCAUAUGAAAAAUGUGAAUUGUCUUUUUUAAAUUUGGGAAUCUGG
Molecule: long non-coding RNA, 748 nt
Filed under: Pongo abelii (Sumatran orangutan)
Lineage: Eukaryota; Metazoa; Chordata; Mammalia; Primates; Hominidae
Description: lincRNA
Source: RNAcentral